Non-coding RNA from Mycena latifolia, 95 nucleotides. The record is from the annotation of a GenBank genome assembly. NCBI's taxonomy places the organism in Eukaryota, Fungi, Basidiomycota, Agaricomycetes, Agaricales, Mycenaceae.
GGCUUGGUGGUGUAAUGGUAAUGCGCUCCGUGUUGUUCUAAAACAUUUGUAUAUCGCAAGACAGACAGUUCGGAGUUCGAUUCUCUGUCAAGCCA